UUGUUCUGGACUUUAUUAAACUUCUUUAAAACAUAAGCUUUAUUAAUCUCCAUUUAUAACAGACACCCGAGCAUAUGCCAAACUAUUCCUGGAAGACUGAAAUGCAGGAUGAGAGAUGUAAUCCUCCAAGAACUUUCAGGAUUCUGUGAAGAAGCUGUUGAAGUAAG
Molecule: long non-coding RNA, 167 nt
Organism: Gallus gallus (chicken)
Lineage: Eukaryota; Metazoa; Chordata; Aves; Galliformes; Phasianidae
Exons: 2
Source: RefSeq, a predicted model, not a curated record